CCUACGGGUGGCAGCAGUGAGGAAUAUUGGUCAAUGGGCGCAAGCCUGAACCAGCCAUGCCGCGUGCAGGAAGAAGGUCCUAUGGAUUGUAAACUGCUUUUAUUUGGGAAUAAACCUCUUUACGUGUAGAGAGCUGAAGGUACCAAAUGAAUAAGCACCGGCUAACUCCGUGCCAGCAGCCGCGGUAAUACGGAGGGUGCAAGCGUUAUCCGGAAUCAUUGGGUUUAAAGGGUCCGCAGGCGGGUCUAUAAGUCAGUGGUGAAAGCCUACAGCUCAACUGUAGAACUGCCAUUGAUACUGUAGAUCUUGAAUGUGGUCGGAGUGGGCGGAAUGUGACAUGUAGCGGUGAAAUGCUUAGAUAUGUCACAGAACACCGAUAGCGAAGGCAGCUCACUAGGCCAUAAUUGACGCUCAUGGACGAAAGCGUGGGGAGCAAACAGGAUUAGAUACCCCAGUAGUC
This 460-nucleotide ribosomal RNA is filed under the name uncultured Pseudomonadota bacterium. RNAcentral describes it as "bacterial SSU rRNA". It matches the Rfam family "Bacterial small subunit ribosomal RNA", at positions 338 to 795 of the family's 1533-position model. Lineage: Bacteria; Pseudomonadati; Pseudomonadota. The record is from RNAcentral.